Molecule: RNase P RNA, 338 nt
Filed under: unidentified bacterium SM-A26
Lineage: Bacteria
Description: partial RNAase P
Rfam family: Bacterial RNase P class A
About the family: Ribonuclease P (RNase P) is a ubiquitous endoribonuclease, found in archaea, bacteria and eukarya as well as chloroplasts and mitochondria. Its best characterised activity is the generation of mature 5'-ends of tRNAs by cleaving the 5'-leader elements of precursor-tRNAs.
Source: RNAcentral
GAGGAAAGUCCGGGCUCCGCAGGGCGGGAUGCCAGGUAAUGCCUGGGAGGUGAAAACCUAUGGAAAGUGCCACAGAAAAUAUACCGCCCCGCCGCGCACGCGCGCUGGGGUAAGGGUGAAAUGGUGCGGUAAGAGCGCACCGCGCUGCUGGUAACAGCAGUGGCAGGGUAAACCCCAUCCGGAGCAAGACCAAAUAGGGAAGCAUGCGACUGGUUCGCAAUCUGUGGCCCGCAGAUGCUUCCGGGUAGGUUGCUUGAGGCAUUCGGUGACGAAUGACCCAGAUGAAUGACUAUCCGUUGUCUCCAGGCUAAUGGAGAUUCUGACAGAAUCCGGCUUAU